RNAcentral lists this transfer RNA (98 nucleotides) under Moesziomyces antarcticus T-34. It matches the Rfam family "tRNA". From Rfam's summary of the family: Transfer RNA (tRNA) molecules are approximately 80 nucleotides in length. Their secondary structure includes four short double-helical elements and three loops (D, anti-codon, and T loops). Lineage: Eukaryota; Fungi; Basidiomycota; Ustilaginomycetes; Ustilaginales; Ustilaginaceae. The record is from Rfam by way of RNAcentral.
GUGGGAGAGGCUUAGUGGUUUGGCGUGAGAUUGCAACUUUCCGUCCCCAUCGGGAAUCUAAGAUCUUGAGGUCGUGGGUUCGAUUCCCACCUUCCACU